Molecule: ribosomal RNA, 630 nt
Filed under: Hepatozoon canis
Lineage: Eukaryota; Apicomplexa; Hepatozoidae
Description: SSU rRNA
Rfam family: Eukaryotic small subunit ribosomal RNA
Source: RNAcentral
UUUAUUAGAUAAAAAGCCAGUUCAUGCUUUUACAGUAUGAAAAUUGGUGAUUUAUAAUAACUUAGCAAAUCGCAAAGUGAAAACAGGCGAUAAAUCAUUCAAGUUUCUGACCUAUCAGCUUUCGACGGUAUGGUAUUGGCUUACCGUGGCAGUGACGGUUAACGGGGGAUUAGGGUUCGAUUCCGGAGAGGGAGCCUGAGAAACGGCUACCACAUCUAAGGAAGGCAGCAGGCGCGCAAAUUACCCAAUUCUAACAGUUUGAGAGAGGUAGUAACAAGAAAUAACAAUACAAGGCAGUUAAAAUGCUUUGUAAUUGGAAUGAUAGAAAUUUAAACCCUUUUUAAAGUAUCAAUUGGAGGGCAAGUCUGGUGCCAGCAGCCGCGGUAAUUCCAGCUCCAAUAGCGUAUAUUAAAAUUGUUGCAGUUAAAAAGCUCGUAGUUGAAGUUCUGCUGAAAGUAACCGGUCUGCUUUUAAUAAAAGUGGUAUCUUGGUAUGUAUUUAGCAAUGAUGUCCUUUGAAGUGUUUUUUACUUUAUUGUAAUAAAGCAUAUUCAGGACUUUUACUUUGAGAAAAUUAGAGUGUUUCUAGCAGGCUAACGCUUUGAAUACUGCAGCAUGGAAAUAAUAAGAA